Marmota flaviventris (yellow-bellied marmot) is the source of this 800-nucleotide long non-coding RNA. RefSeq lists it as uncharacterized. Lineage: Eukaryota; Metazoa; Chordata; Mammalia; Rodentia; Sciuridae. The record is from RefSeq and is a predicted model, not a curated record.
CCUGCUGUGGACUCUCCUUUGCUGACCACGUCAAUCCUCUGCAAAAAAACCUGCAGCUGCCCCGACUGCCCACCCUGCCACCCUGCCGGAGGCGCUCAACCCGCUACGUGUAAACCUUCAGAGAGAAACGGUGUCCACUCUCCACUCUGGCCCCUAGGGAAGAUAAACCGUCCACUUGUGGAAACAUCCAUGAACCAAAGAGAUGCCCACAUUUGAAAACCCAUUAUCAGGAAUAGCCUUUGGCACUUGAAAAAAAAAUGAAAUACUGACAUGCACCUGCUACAACCUGGUGAAAUCUGAUGAAACAGAAGGCGAAGGGACAACAGUACAGCAUGCCACACUGCUGCGAAUUCAACUGUCCCACCGGAAAAAAAAAAAGAUACGCUUAAGUCCUAGUCGCUGGUACCUGUCAAUAUUCUCCGACUUGGAGGUAGGCUCUUUGCACAUGUAAUCAGGGUAGGAUGAGUCGGACUGGUGUCCUCAGAAGAAGAAGAGAGAUUCGGAGACGUGGGAGAAUUCCCCAGGGUGAGGUGUCUAUAAGCCACGGGACACCAAGGGUGGCCAGCAACCACCAGAAACCGGGAAAGACCAAGACCCUCCCCUGGAGCUUCAGAGAGAGCCUGGUCCCAUGGGCUCCUUGAUUCCGGACUUCCAUAAAAAUCUGCAGUCUCAGCAACACCCGCCCUGCCCAUGACCAGGUGCAGGAAUCUACUCCCCCGGAAACGGGCCUGAAGAAGUGACCCUACGUCGUUAAAAGGAUCGGGAACUGGAAAACCAGACUCCCAUCCUUUCUGCUGUAU